GUGGGGAAUCUUAGACAAUGGGCGCAAGCCUGAUCUAGCCAUGCCGCGUGAGCGAUGAAGGCCUUAGGGUUGUAAAGCUCUUUCGUGGGGGAAGAUAAUGACUGUACCCCAAGAAGAAGCCCCGGCUAACUCCGUGCCAGCAGCCGCGGUAAUACGGAGGGGGCUAGCGUUGUUCGGAAUUACUGGGCGUAAAGCGCACGUAGGCGGACUGGAAAGUCAGGGGUGAAAUCCCGGGGCUGAACCCCGGAACUGCCUUGGAAACUCCCAGUCUUGAGUUCGAGAGAGGUGAGUGGAAUUCCGAGUGUAGAGGUGAAAUUCGUAGAUAUUCGGAGGAACACCAGUGGCGAAGGCGGCUCACUGGCUCGAUACUGACGCUGAGGUGCGAAAGCGUGGGGAGCAAACAGGAUUAGAUACCCUUGUAGUCC
Molecule: ribosomal RNA, 425 nt
Filed under: uncultured bacterium
Lineage: Bacteria
Description: partial 16S ribosomal RNA
Rfam family: Bacterial small subunit ribosomal RNA
Source: RNAcentral